AGUGAGCGCUGGCGGUAGGCCUAACACAUGCAAGUCGAACGGCAGCACAGUAAGAGCUUGCUCUUACGGGUGGCGAGUGGCGGACGGGUGAGGAAUACAUCGGAAUCUACUUUUUCGUGGGGGAUAACGUAGGGAAACUUACGCUAAUACCGCAUACGACCUACGGGUGAAAGCAGGGGAUCUUCGGACCUUGCGCGAUUGAAUGAGCCGAUGUCGGAUUAGCUAGUUGGCGGGGUAAAGGCCCACCAAGGCGACGAUCCGUAGCUGGUCUGAGAGGAUGAUCAGCCACACUGGAACGUAGACACGGUCCAGACUCCUACGGGAGGCAGCAGUGGGGAAUAUUGGACAAUGGGCGCAAGCCUGAUCCAGCCAUACCGCGUGGGUGAAGAAGGCCUUCGGGUUGUAAAGCCCUUUUGUUGGGAAAGAAAAGCAGCAGGUUAAUACCCCGCUGUUCUGACGGUACCCAAAGAAUAAGCACCGGCUAACUUCGUG
RNAcentral lists this ribosomal RNA (492 nucleotides) under uncultured bacterium. RNAcentral describes it as "partial 16S ribosomal RNA". It matches the Rfam family "Bacterial small subunit ribosomal RNA", at positions 29 to 507 of the family's 1533-position model. The record is from RNAcentral.